UACGUAGGGGGCAAGCGUUGUUCGGAUUCAUUGGGCGUAAAGGGUGCGUAGGCGGCGCGGUAAGUCGGGUGUGAAAUCUCGGAGCUUAACUCCGAAACUGCAUUCGAUACUGCCGUGCUUGAGGACUGGAGAGGAGACUGGAAUUUACGGUGUAGCGGUGAAAUGCGUAGAUAUCGUAAGGAAGACCAGUGGCGAAGGCGGGUCUCUGGACAGUUCCUGACGCUGAGGAACGAAGGUCAGGGGAGCAAACGGG
This 253-nucleotide ribosomal RNA is filed under the name uncultured bacterium. RNAcentral describes it as "partial 16S ribosomal RNA". It matches the Rfam family "Bacterial small subunit ribosomal RNA", at positions 524 to 776 of the family's 1533-position model. The record is from RNAcentral.